AUGAUAAUCCCUCGCCAUCGGCUUCCCACCUGCGCGACACCCUCGCCGACGACCUCGUUAUUAGCAUGGGAACAGUUUGAUUUCCUGGCCGGAUCAGCCAAGGAGAAGGAACAAGGGAGUGGAGCAAACAACUAUCCAUCUCGAUUGAGUAGUGAGUCCCAUGUUUACACUCGUGCUAAGAUUUCCGAAGAAUUUGUUCUUGUGUUUAGGGCGAUCGGGACGCCAGAUUGUAGUGGUUUUGAUGUCGAUCGUUUUCAUGUUUUGGUGAGAGAUUGCAUGCAUGUACCUGCUAGUCCAGGGUGA
RNAcentral lists this ribosomal RNA (303 nucleotides) under Triticum aestivum (bread wheat). Its description in RNAcentral is "partial small subunit ribosomal RNA". The record is from RNAcentral. Lineage: Eukaryota; Viridiplantae; Streptophyta; Magnoliopsida; Poales; Poaceae.